CAAUGUCAAGGUCUGGAGAUGUUUCUGCUGUGAGCUCACUGGGGACUCACGUUGAGAAAUAAUGGUUUAGGACAUCUGGCAGACCGCCGGGAUUCGGCUAGUGUGUUCUUGCAUGGCAGAAUCAAGGUAGCCUUGGAGGCUGACUCGUGCACCAAUAAUGCAGGAGUCCUGCGGUGAAGGAUGUCACGGACGGCUCAAUUCCACCGACCAAGAUUGUUCCUUCUCUGCAGGUUUAAUCUGCUCUGAAACCAUGUUGCUUUGAAAUUAUCAUCAGGUCAGAAGUGUCUAAGCUGAGAGUAACGGCAUUCUGCUGGGCUGCUGGGUCACCGCGCUCCAUUUUUUUUGUGAGAACCAAUACCCCAGGGCUUUCAAGGACAGAGGACUAAUUUAAAAAAGCAUUUCUUCUCU
This is a long non-coding RNA of Monodelphis domestica (gray short-tailed opossum), 408 nucleotides long. RefSeq lists it as uncharacterized. NCBI's taxonomy places the organism in Eukaryota, Metazoa, Chordata, Mammalia, Didelphimorphia, Didelphidae. The record is from RefSeq and is a predicted model, not a curated record.